This 562-nucleotide ribosomal RNA is filed under the name uncultured bacterium. RNAcentral's name for it is "partial 16S ribosomal RNA". It matches the Rfam family "Bacterial small subunit ribosomal RNA", at positions 355 to 907 of the family's 1533-position model. The record is from RNAcentral.
UGGGGAAUAUUGGACAAUGGGCGCAAGCCUGAUCCAGCAAUGCCGCGUGUGUGAAGAAGGCCUUCGGGUUGUAAAGCACUUUUAUCAGGAGCGAAACGCUGUCGGCUAAUACCCGGCGGAACUGACGGUACCUGAGGAAUAAGCACCGGCUAACUUCGUGCCAGCAGCCGCGGUAAUACGAAGGGGUGCAAGCGUUAAUCGGAAUUACUGGGCGUAAAGCGUGCGUAGGCGGUUUCUUAAGUCUGCUGUGAAAUCCCCGGGCUCAACCUGGGAAUGGCAGUGGAUACUGGGAGGCUAGAGUGUGUCAGAGGGUGGUGGAAUUCCCGGUGUAGCGGUGAAAUGCGUAGAGAUCGGGAGGAACAUCAGUGGCGAAGGCGGCCACCUGGGACAACACUAACGCUGAGACACGAAAGCGUGGGGAGCAAACAGGAUUAGAUACCCUGGUAGUCCACGCCCUAAACGAUGCGAACUGGAUGUUGGUCUCAACUCGGAGAUCAGUGUCGAAGCUAACGCGUUAAGUUCGCCGCCUGGGGAGUACGGUCGCAAGACUGAAACUUAAAGG